CCUACGGGAGGCAGCAGUGGGGAAUAUUGCGCAAUGGGCGAAAGCCUGACGCAGCGACGCCGCGUGAGGGAUGACGGCCUUCGGGUUGUAAACCUCUUUCAGCAGGGAAGAAGCGAAAGUGACGGUACCUGCAGAAGAAGCACCGGCUAACUACGUGCCAGCAGCCGCGGUAAUACGUAGGGUGCGAGCGUUGUCCGGAAUUAUUGGGCGUAAAGAGCUCGUAGGCGGCCUGUCGCGUCGGAUGUGAAAACUCGGGGCUUAACCCCGAGCCUGCAUUCGAUACGGGCAGGCUAGAGUUCGGCAGGGGAGACUGGAAUUCCUGGUGUAGCGGUGAAAUGCGCAGAUAUCAGGAGGAACACCGGUGGCGAAGGCGGGUCUCUGGGCCGAUACUGACGCUGAGGAGCGAAAGCGUGGGGAGCGAACAGGAUUAGAUACCCUGGUAGUCCACGCCGUAAACGUUGGGAACUAGGUGUGGGCGACAUUCCACGUCGUCCGUCGCGCGAGCUACGACAUUAACGUUACCCGUCCCGUCGGGAGGUACGGCCGGCGACGGACGUAAACCUACAAACGGAAGUUAGACGGCGUGAGACGUGCCGAACGGACGACGACGAGGGAGUAGG
Molecule: ribosomal RNA, 620 nt
Filed under: uncultured bacterium
Lineage: Bacteria
Description: bacterial SSU rRNA
Rfam family: Bacterial small subunit ribosomal RNA (bases 1-527)
Source: RNAcentral